RNAcentral lists this ribosomal RNA (1287 nucleotides) under Lamprospora retispora. Its description in RNAcentral is "SSU rRNA". It matches the Rfam family "Eukaryotic small subunit ribosomal RNA", at positions 88 to 1385 of the family's 1831-position model. Lineage: Eukaryota; Fungi; Ascomycota; Pezizomycetes; Pezizales; Pyronemataceae. The record is from RNAcentral.
UGCGAAUGGCUCAUUAAAUCAGUUAUCGUUUAUUUGAUAGUACUUUACUACUUGGAUAACCGUGGUAAUUCUAGAGCUAAUACAUGCUAAAAAUCCCGACCUCUGGAAGGGAUGUAUUUAUUAGAUAAAAAACCAAUGCCUUCGGGCUUCUUGGUGAUUCAUGAUAACUUUACGAAUCGUAUGGCCUUGUGCCGGCGAUGGUUCAUUCAAAUUUCUGCCCUAUCAACUUUCGAUGGUAGGAUAGUGGCCUACCAUGGUUUCAACGGGUAACGGGGAAUUAGGGUUCGAUUCCGGAGAGGGAGCCUGAGAAACGGCUACCACAUCCAAGGAAGGCAGCAGGCGCGCAAAUUACCCAAUCCCGACACGGGGAGGUAGUGACAAUAAAUACUGAUACAGGGCCCUUUCGGGUCUUGUAAUUGGGAAUGAGUACAAUUUAAACCCUUUAACGAGGAACAAUUGGAGGGCAAGUCUGGUGCCAGCAGCCGCGGUAAUUCCAGCUCCAAUAGCGUAUAUUAAAGUUGUUGCAGUUAAAAAGCUCGUAGUUGAACUUUGGGUCUGGGUAACUGGUCUGCGUUUACCGCAUGUACUGGAAACCCGGAUCUUUCCUUCUGGAGAACCGCAUGCACUUUACUGGGUGUGCCGGGGAACCAGGACUUUUACUUUGAAAAAAUUAGAGUGUUCAAAGCAGGCAUUUGCUCGAAUACAUUAGCAUGGAAUAAUAAAAUAGGACGUGCGGUUCUAUUUUGUUGGUUUCUAGGACCGCCGUAAUGAUUAAUAGGGAUAGUCGGGGGCAUCCGUAUUCGAUUGUCAGAGGUGAAAUUCUUGGAUUUUUCGAAGACGAACUACUGCGAAAGCAUUUGCCAAGGAUGUUUUCAUUAAUCAGGAACGAAAGUUGAGGGAUCGAAGACGAUCAGAUACCGUCGUAGUCUCAACCAUAAACUAUGCCGACUAGGGAUUGGGCGACUGUGUUAUUUGAGUUGCUCAGCACCUUACGAGAAAUUAAAGUUUUUGGGUUCUGGGGGGAGUAUGGUCGCAAGGCUGAAACUUAAAGGAAUUGACGGAAGGGCACCACCAGGAGUGGAGCCUGCGGCUUAAUUUGACUCAACACGGGGAAACUCACCAGGUCCAGACACAUUAAGGAUUGACAGAUUGAGAGCUCUUUCUUGAUCAUGUGGGUGGUGGUGCAUGGCCGUUCUUAGUUGGUGGAGUGAUUUGUCUGCUUAAUUGCGAUAACGAACGAGACCUUAACCUGCUAGAUAGCUGGGCUCGCUUUCGCGGGUUCUUGGC